Molecule: ribosomal RNA, 686 nt
Filed under: Bradyrhizobium sp. RS-41
Lineage: Bacteria; Pseudomonadati; Pseudomonadota; Alphaproteobacteria; Hyphomicrobiales; Nitrobacteraceae
Description: bacterial SSU rRNA
Rfam family: Bacterial small subunit ribosomal RNA
Source: RNAcentral
GGCUCAGAGCGAACGCUGGCGGCAGGCUUAACACAUGCAAGUCGAGCGGGCGUAGCAAUACGUCAGCGGCAGACGGGUGAGUAACGCGUGGGAACGUACCUUUUGGUUCGGAACAACACAGGGAAACUUGUGCUAAUACCGGAUAAGCCCUUACGGGGAAAGAUUUAUCGCCGAAAGAUCGGCCCGCGUCUGAUUAGCUAGUUGGUGAGGUAAUGGCUCACCAAGGCGACGAUCAGUAGCUGGUCUGAGAGGAUGAUCAGCCACAUUGGGACUGAGACACGGCCCAAACUCCUACGGGAGGCAGCAGUGGGGAAUAUUGGACAAUGGGGGCAACCCUGAUCCAGCCAUGCCGCGUGAGUGAUGAAGGCCCUAGGGUUGUAAAGCUCUUUUGUGCGGGAAGAUAAUGACGGUACCGCAAGAAUAAGCCCCGGCUAACUUCGUGCCAGCAGCCGCGGUAAUACGAAGGGGGCUAGCGUUGCUCGGAAUCACUGGGCGUAAAGGGUGCGUAGGCGGGUCUUUAAGUCAGGGGUGAAAUCCUGGAGCUCAACUCCAGAACUGCCUUUGAUACUGAAGAUCUUGAGUUCGGGAGAGGUGAGUGGAACUGCGAGUGUAGAGGUGAAAUUCGUAGAUAUUCGCAAGAACACCAGUGGCGAAGGCGGCUCACUGGCCCGAUACUGACGCUGAGG